GAGACACGCUGGCGGCGUGCUUAACACAUGCAAGUCGAACGGGAGUAUUGAAGAAGCUUGCUUUAGAGAUACUUUAGUGGCGGACGGGUGAGUAACGCGUGAGGAGCUGUCCUAUGCAGGGGGACAACAGCUGGAAACGGCUGCUAAUACCCCAUAAGCCGAGAGGUAAAAGGAUCAAUCCGGCAGAGGAGGUACUCGCGUCCUAUCAGCUAGUAGGUGAGGUAACGGCUCACCUAGGCGAAGACGGGUAGCCGGCCUGAGAGGGCGAACGGCCACACUGGAACUGAGAUACGGUCCAGACUCCUACGGGAGGCAGCAGUGGGGAAUAUUGGGCAAUGGGGGAAACCCUGACCCAGCGACGCCGCGUGGGUGAAGAAAUCCUUCGGGAUGUAAAGCCCUGUUGUAUGGGAAGAGCGGAAGACGGUACCAUACGAGGAAGCCCCGGCAAACUACGUG
This 456-nucleotide ribosomal RNA is filed under the name uncultured bacterium. Its description in RNAcentral is "bacterial SSU rRNA". It matches the Rfam family "Bacterial small subunit ribosomal RNA", at positions 33 to 507 of the family's 1533-position model. The record is from RNAcentral.